This 65-nucleotide transfer RNA is filed under the name Potamiscus yiwuensis. RNAcentral's name for it is "tRNA-Asn". The record is from RNAcentral. Lineage: Eukaryota; Metazoa; Arthropoda; Malacostraca; Decapoda; Potamidae.
UUGAUAGAAGCCAAAAAGAGGCAUAUUACUGUUGAUAAUAUAAAUGAAAUUAAUUUCCUAUCAAU